Molecule: long non-coding RNA, 431 nt
Organism: Carya illinoinensis
Lineage: Eukaryota; Viridiplantae; Streptophyta; Magnoliopsida; Fagales; Juglandaceae
Exons: 2
Source: RefSeq, a predicted model, not a curated record
UCCAUCGUAUUUUGAACAUCCUCUUUUGCAUUGUUCUGUCCAAGUCCAAAUCCCCUAGCAUAUAUACCAUUCCAUCAUAUUAGUCAAUAACCUUUCAAAGCAUGCAGAAAAGAAAAUCGAAGUUUCCGAAAAAAAAUAUUCGGAAUAUGAUUUUCCCCCCAAAAAAACAACCCCUUCAGGCUGGUGAUCACCCCUAGAACUAUUCCAAUUUCCAAGUCACCAGUUAAUGUGUCUGGUGUGAGUACUCGAACCCUGAUCUCUUCUUUGUGAAAGAGUAAUAAGGUGCAGGACACGACAUGGAUGUAUUGUUGUAGUCUUCACUGAAAAACAUAUUGGAAACUUCCAAAGUUCCUAUACGGCUUUAUUUUGUGGCAUAAAAAGAUUAAAUACUGAUCUUAUCACGGAUCGAGUGAGAAAUUCUCAGGAGAAGA